AUUGAACGCUGGCGGCAUGCUUUACACAUGCAAGUCGAACGGUAACAGGCCGCAAGGUGCUGACGAGUGGCGAACGGGUGAGUAAUGCAUCGGAACGUGCCCAGUCGUGGGGGAUAACUACUCGCAAGAGUAGCUAAUACCGCAUACGAUCUACGGAUGAAAGCGGGGGACCGUAAGGCCUCGCGCGAUUGGAGCUGCCGAUGUCAGAUUAGGUAGUUGGUGGGGUAAAGGCUCACCAAGCCAACGAUCUGUAGCUGGUCUGAGAGGACGACCAGCCACACUGGGACUGAGACACGGCCCAGACUCCUACGGGAGGCAGCAGUGGGGAAUUUUGGACAAUGGGCGCAAGCCUGAUCCAGCAAUGCCGCGUGCAGGAAGAAGGCCUUCGGGUUGUAAACUGCUUUUGUACGGAACGAAACGGCUCUGGUUAAUACCCGGGGCUAAUGACGGUACCGUAAGAAUAAGCACCGGCUAACUACGUG
RNAcentral lists this ribosomal RNA (482 nucleotides) under uncultured bacterium. RNAcentral describes it as "partial 16S ribosomal RNA". It matches the Rfam family "Bacterial small subunit ribosomal RNA", at positions 30 to 507 of the family's 1533-position model. The record is from RNAcentral.